CACCCAACCAAUUGAGCCACCCAGGUGUCCCAGGAAUUUGUGAUUUCAAUGCCAAAGUGAAACUAUUGAAAUGAUACAUUACCUAAUAGUCGUUGAACUACGCCACAGGAAAGUUCAAAUAGUGACAAAGUGCCUUGAUUCCAGCAGCGAUUCCCCUGUCUGCUUUCGCCUUGGGUUUCCAUUGUGACCAUUAACUGCUGAAACUGAGCCCAGAGCCCUUGAUCACAAGAUCUGAACGUUGCAAGGGAUCCUAAAGAGAAAGCCGGCUGAGAUGGAACACUGGAACACUAAGGAAGGCAGAGCAGAGAAAUGAAAGAGCCUGGG
Non-coding RNA from Leptonychotes weddellii (Weddell seal), 324 nucleotides. The record is from RefSeq and is a predicted model, not a curated record. Lineage: Eukaryota; Metazoa; Chordata; Mammalia; Carnivora; Phocidae.